GAUGAACGCUGGCGGCGUGCCUAAUACAUGCAAGUCGAGCGAACGGACGAGAAGCUUGCUUCUCUGAUGUUAGCGGCGGACGGGUGAGUAACACGUGGAUAACCUACCUAUAAGACUGGGAUAACUUCGGGAAACCGUAGCUAAUACCGGAUAAUAUUUUGAACCGCAUGGUUCAAAAGUGAAAGACGGUCUUGCUGUCACUUAUAGAUGGAUCCGCGCUGCAUUAGCUAGUUGGUAAGUUAACGGCUUACCAAGGCAACGAUGCAUAGCCGACCUGAGAGGGUGAUCGCCCACACUGGAACUGAGACGCGCUCCAGACUCCUACGGGAGGCAGCAGUCGGGAAUGUUCCGCAAUGGGCGAAAGCAUGACGGAGCGACGCCGCGUGAGUGAUGAAGGUCUUCGGAUCGUAAAACUCUGUUAUUAGGGAAGAACAUAUGUGUAAGUAACUGUGCACAUCUUGACGGUACCUAAUCAGAAAGCCACGGCUAACUACGUG
This 497-nucleotide ribosomal RNA is filed under the name uncultured bacterium. RNAcentral's name for it is "partial 16S ribosomal RNA". It matches the Rfam family "Bacterial small subunit ribosomal RNA", at positions 28 to 507 of the family's 1533-position model. The record is from RNAcentral.